RNAcentral lists this ribosomal RNA (588 nucleotides) under uncultured bacterium. RNAcentral's name for it is "partial 16S ribosomal RNA". It matches the Rfam family "Bacterial small subunit ribosomal RNA", at positions 355 to 1376 of the family's 1533-position model. The record is from RNAcentral.
UGGGGAAUAUUGGACAAUGGGCGCAAGCCUGAUCCAGCAAUGCCGCGUGUGUGAAGAGGGCCUUCGGGUUGUAAAGCACUUUUAUCAGGAGCGAAACGCUGUCGGCUAAUACCCGGCGGAACUGACGGUACCUGAGGAAUAAGCACCGGCUAACUUCGUGCCAGCAGCCGCGGUAAUACGAAGGGUGCAAGCGUUAAUCGGAAUUACUGGGCGUAAAGCGUGCGUAGGCGGUUUCUUAAGUCUGCUGUGAAAUCCCCGGGCUCAACCUGGGAAUGGCAGUGGAUACUGGGAGGCUAGAGUGUGUCAGAGGGUGGUGGAAUUCCCGGUGUAGCGGUGAAAUGCGUAGAGAUCGGGAGGAACAUCAGUGGCGAAGGCGGCCACCUGGGACAACACUGACGCUGAGGCACGAAAGCGUGGGGAGCAAACAGGAUUAGAUACCCUGGUAGUCCACGCCCUAAACGAUGCGAACUGGAUGUUGGUCUCAACUCGGAGAUCAGUGUCGAAGCUAACGCGUUAAGUUCGCCGCCUGGGGAGUACGGUCGCAAGACUGAAACUCAAAGGAAUUGACGGGGUCAUAGCUGUUUCCUG